RNAcentral lists this ribosomal RNA (467 nucleotides) under uncultured bacterium. RNAcentral describes it as "partial 16S ribosomal RNA". It matches the Rfam family "Bacterial small subunit ribosomal RNA", at positions 28 to 507 of the family's 1533-position model. The record is from RNAcentral.
GACGAACGCUGGCGGCGUGCUUAACACAUGCAAGUCGAACGGAAAGGCCUCUUUCGGGGGGUACUCGAGUGGCGAACGGGUGAGUAACACGUGAGUAACCUGCCCUUGACUUUGGGAUAACUUCAGGCAACUGGGGCUAAUACCGGAUAGGAGCUCCUGCUGCAUGGUGGGGGUUGGAAAGUUUCGGCGGUUGGGGAUGGACUCGCGGCUUAUCAGCUUGUUGGUGGGGUAGUGGCUUACCAAGGCUUUGACGGGUAGCCGGCCUGAGAGGGUGACCGGCGACAUUGGGACUGAGGGGCGGCCCAGACUCCUACGGGAGGCAGCAGUGGGGAAGAUUGCACAAUGGGUGGAAGCCGGAUGCAGCAACGCCGUGUGCGGGAUGACGGCGUUCGGGUUGUAAACCGCUUUCGCUCAUGACGAAGCUUUGUGUGACGGUAGUGGGUAAAGAAGCACCGGCUAACUACGUG